CACGCCGUAAACGAUGGAUGCUAGCCGUCGGCAAGCUUGCUUGUCGGUGGCGCAGCUAACGCAUUAAGCAUCCCGCCUGGGGAGUACGGCCGCAAGGUUAAAACUCAAAGGAAUUGACGGGGGCCCGCACAAGCGGUGGAGCAUGUGGUUUAAUUCGACGCAACGCGAAGAACCUUACCAGCUCUUGACAUGUCCGGUCGGUUUCCAGAAAUGGGAUCCUCCCAGCAAUGGGUCGGAACACAGGUGC
This 247-nucleotide ribosomal RNA is filed under the name uncultured Hyphomicrobiaceae bacterium. RNAcentral describes it as "partial 16S ribosomal RNA". It matches the Rfam family "Bacterial small subunit ribosomal RNA", at positions 796 to 1041 of the family's 1533-position model. The record is from RNAcentral. Lineage: Bacteria; Pseudomonadati; Pseudomonadota; Alphaproteobacteria; Hyphomicrobiales; Hyphomicrobiaceae.